This 399-nucleotide ribosomal RNA is filed under the name uncultured soil bacterium. Its description in RNAcentral is "bacterial SSU rRNA". It matches the Rfam family "Bacterial small subunit ribosomal RNA", at positions 975 to 1375 of the family's 1533-position model. The record is from RNAcentral.
CAAGGUUUGACAUGCAGGGAAAAGCCGUAGAGAUACGGUGUCCGUAAGGGUCCUGCACAGGUGGUGCAUGGCUGUCGUCAGCUCGUGUCGUGAGAUGUUGGGUUAAGUCCCGCAACGAGCGCAACCCUCGUCCUAUGUUGCCAGCGGAUAAUGCCGGGGACUCAUAGGAGACUGCCGGGGUCAACUCGGAGGAAGGUGGGGAUGACGUCAAGUCCUCAUGCCCCUUAUGUCUUGGGCUGCAAACAUGCUACAAUGGCCAGUACAAAGGGUUGCGAGACCGCAAGGUGGAGCGAAUCCCAAAAAGCUGGUCUCAGUUCGGAUUGGGGUCUGCAACUCGACCCCAUGAAGUCGGAGUCGCUAGUAAUCGCGAAUCAGCAACGUCGCGGUGAAUACGUUCCC